ACGCUCGACACCUACGGAGGCAGCAGUGGGGAAUAUUGCACAAUGGGGGAAACCCUGAUGCAGCGACGCCGCGUGAGCGAAGAAGUAUCUCGGUAUGUAAAGCUCUAUCAGCAGGGAAGAAGAUGACGGUACCUGACUAAGAAGCACCGGCUAAAUACGUGCCAGCAGCCGCAGUAAUCUGAGCGGGCUGGCAAGGC
RNAcentral lists this ribosomal RNA (197 nucleotides) under uncultured bacterium. RNAcentral describes it as "partial 16S ribosomal RNA". It matches the Rfam family "Bacterial small subunit ribosomal RNA", at positions 328 to 539 of the family's 1533-position model. The record is from RNAcentral.